UUGUGAUUAUUGGAGGUGCAUUUGUCGUGGUAAUGAGUGUUGCCUGGCUUAGAGCUGGAACUGUAUUUGUGAAAGCAACAGUUGUGCUUGAUAGAGGUGCAGUUGUUAUUGGGAAUGCAGUUGUUGUUGCCACUGAAGGAGUGUUCUUGCUUGAUGUUGUUGGAUCAUUAGUUGUUUUAGAUGUGGUUGAUGAAGCUGUAGUUGCAGUCUCUGCUGUUGUACUUUCUGAAGUUGUAGGCAGUGUUGUUGAAGUAGUAGCUGUGGUCUCUGUACUCACAAGUGUGGUUGUUGGAAUUUCGCUAGUUGACAAUCCUUUAGUUGCUGAUGUUGUUACAGGUGCAGUUGUUUCUGAAGAUGUAGGCAUUGUUGAAGUAAGAGUUGUGGAUUCAGAAGUUACAGCUGUUGAUGUUGUUGGAUCAUGUGUUGCAGUAGAUGUGGUUGAUAAAGCUGUAGUCGUGGUUUCUGCUGUUGUACUUUCUGAAGUUGUAGGCAGUGUUGUUGAAGUAGUAGCUGUGGUCUCUGUACUCACAAGUGUGGUUGUUGGAAUUUCGCUAGUUGACAAUCCUUUAGUUGCUGAUGUUGUUACAGGUGCAGUUGUUUCUGAAGAUGUAGGUAUUGUUGUUGAAGUAAGAGUUGUGGAUUCUGAAGUUACAGCUGUUGAUGUUGCUGGAUUGUUUGUUUUUGUAGAUGUGGUUGAUGAAUCUUUAGUUGUGGUCUCUGCUGUUGUACUUUUUGAAGUUGUAGGAAUUGUUGUUGAAGUAAGUGUUAGGGAUUCUGAAGUUACUACUGUUGAUGUUGUUGGAUUGUUUGUUAUUGUAGAUGUGGUUGAUGAAGCUGUAGUGGUGGUUUCCACUGUUGUAAUUUCUAAAGUUGUAGGCAAUGUUGUUGAAGUAAUAGGUGUGGUCUCUGUACUUACAACUGUGGUUGUGGGAAUUUCUGUAGAUGAGGAAGCUUUAGUUACUGAUGUUGUUACAGGUGCAGUUGUAUCUGAAGAUGUAAGCAUAGUUGUUGAAGUAAGAGUUGUGGAUUCUGAAGUUACUGCUGCUGAUGUUGUUGGAUCAUUUGUUGUUGUAGAUGUGGUUGAUGAAGCUUUAGUUGUAGGCAGUGUUGUUGAAGUAAUGGGUGUGGUUUUGUUCCUCACAACUGUGGUGGUGGGGAUUUCAGUAGAUGAGGAAGCUGUAGUUACUGAUGUUGUCACAGGUGCAGUUGUUUCUGAAGAUGUAGGCAUAGUUGUUGAAGUAAGAGUUGUGGGUUCAGAAGUUACAGCUGUUGAUGUUGUUGGAUCGUUUUUUGUUGUAGAUGUGGUUGAUGAAGCUGCAGUUGUGGUCUCUGCUGUUGUUCUUUCUGAAGUUGUAGGCAGUGUUGUUGAAGUAAUAGUUGUGGUUUCAGUCCUCACAACUGUGGUGGUGGGAAUUUCAGUAGUUGAGGAUGCUGUAGUUACUGAUUUUGUUACAGGUGCGGUUGUUUCUGAAGAUGUAGGCAUUGUUGAUGUAAGAGUUGUGGAUUCUGAAGUUACAGCUGCUGAUGUCGUUGGAUCAUUUGUUGUUGUAGAUGUGGUUGAUGAAGCUGUAGUUGCGGUCUCUGCUGUUGUACUUUCUGAAGUUGUAGGCAGUGUUGUUGAAGUAAUGCGUGUGGUUUCGGUCCUCACAACUGUGUUGGUGGGAAUUUCAGUAGUUGAGGAUGCUGUAAUUACUGAUGUUGUUACAGGUGCAGUUGUUUCUGAAGAUGUAGGCAUUGUUGAAGUAAGAGUUGUCGAUUCUGAAGUUACAGCUGUUGAUGUUGUUGGAUCAUUUGUUGUUGUAGAUGUGGUUGAUGAAGCUGUAGUUGUGUUCUCUGCUGUUGUACUUUCUGAAGUUGUAGGCAGUGUUGUUGAAGUAAUAGUUGUGGUCUCUGUACUCACAUCUGUGGUUGUGGGAAUUUCAGCAGUUGAGUAUGCUGUAGUUACUGAUGUUGUUACAGGUGCGAUUGUUUCUGAAGAUGUAGGCAUUGUUGAUGUAAGAGUUGUGGAUUCUGAAGUUACAGCUGUUGAUGUUGCUGGAUUGUUUGUUGUUGUAGAUGUGGUUGAUGAAGCUGUAGUUGUGGUUUCUGCUGUUGUACUAUUUGAAGUUGUAGGCAUUGUUGUUGAAGCAAGUGUUGUGGAUUCUGAAGUUACUGCUAUUGAUGUUGUUGGAUCGUAUGUUGUUGUAGAUGUGGUUGAUGAAGCUGCAGCUGUGGUUUCUGCUGAUGUACUUUUUGAAGUUGUAGGCAUUGUUGUUGAAAUAAGAGUUGUGGAUUCUGAAGUUACUGCUGCUGAUGUUGUUGGAUCAUUUGUUGUUGUAGAUGUGGUUGAUGAAGCUGUAGUUGUAGGCAGUGUUGUUGAAGUAGUAGUUGUGGUCUCUGUACUCACAACUGUGGUUGUUGGAAUUUCACUAACUGACAAUCCUUUAGGUGCUGAUAUUUUUACAGAUGCAGUUGUUUCUGAAGAUGUAGGUAUUGUUGUUGAAGUAAGAGUUGUGGAUUCUGAAGUUACUGCUGUUGAUGUUGUUGGAUCGUAUGUUGUGGUUGAUGAAGCUAUAGUCGUGGUUUCUGCUGUUGUACUUUUUGAAGUUGUAGGCAUUGUUGUUGAAGCAAGUGUUGUGGGUUCUGAAGUUACUGCUAUUGAUGUUGUUGGAUCGUAUGUUGUGGUUGAUGAAGCUAUAGUCGUGGGUUCUGCUGUUGUACUUUUUGAAGUUGUAGGCGUUGUUGUUGAAGCAAGUGUUGUGGAUUCUGAAGUUACUGCUAUUGAUGUUGUUGGAUCGUAUGUUGUGGUUGAUGAAGCUAUAGUCGUGGUUUCUGCUGUUGUACUUUUUGAAGUUGUAGCCAUUGUUGUUGAAGCAAGUGUUGUGGAUUCUGAAGUUACUGCUGUUGAUGUUGUUGGAUCAUUUGUUGUCGUAGAUGUAGGUGACAAAGCUGUAGUUGUAGGCAGUGUUGUUGAAGUAGUAGUUGUGGUCUCUGUACUCACAACUGUGGUUGUUGGAAUUUCACUAAUUGACAAUCCUUUAGUUGUUGAUAUUGUUACAGGUACAGUUGUUUCUGAAGAUGUAGGUAUUGUUGUUGAAGUUAGAGUUGUGGAUUCUGAAGUUACAGCUGUUGAUGUUGUUGGAUCGUUUGUUGUUGUAGAUGUGGUUGAUGAAGCUAUAGUUGUGGUCUCUGCUGUUGUACUUUUUGAAGUUGUAGGCAGUGUUGUUGAAGUAAUGGCUGUUGUUUCGGUCUUCACAACUGUGGUGGUGGAAAUUUCAGUAGUUGAGGAUGCUGUAGUUGUUGAUGUUGUUACAGGUGCAGUUGUUUCUGAUGAUGUAGGCAUAGUUGUUGAAGUAAGAGUUGUGGAUUCUGAUGUUACAGCUGUUGAUGUUUUUGGAUCGUUUGUUGUAGAUGUAGUUAAUGAAGCUGUAGUUGUGGUUUCCACUGUUUUAACUGUAGCAGUGGAAUGUUCAGUUGUGGCUGUGGAUGCAGUAUUUGUUGUUUCAGCUGCUUUUGUCUUUUCUGAAGACGUAGUCAUGGUUGUUGAAGCAAGUCUUUCUUUAGUUAUAACCAUUGUUGCACCUGAAGAAUCUGAUGAGGUUGGAGCUGGUUUUGCUGAGGUUGAAAUGGCAAGUAUAGUUGUUCUUUCUGAAGCCGUAUAUCCUGAAGUUGAAGACUCCAUUUUUGAAGCACUGGAUUUUAAAAAGAAAAAUAUAAUAAAUUAUAUACCUUUUAAAUUAUUAUUAACUUAAAAAAAAAAAAACAUGUUUGUAUUAGAUUAAAAAAGUAAUGACUAGUGGUGGGCCGUUAUCGGCGUUAACAUGCUGCAUUAACGUGAGACUCUUAUCGGGCGAUAAAAAAAUAUCGCCGUUAAUCUAUACUCAAAGUUGGGUUGGGAGCUGGGUCUACUACACAAGCUAUGAUGAUUUCACCUUGAUGUUUUAGCGCGGAUGUAUAGGCUACCUAGCCGAAGUGCACUGUAGGGGGCGAGAACGAGUCUUCGAACCUGUGUGUAUGCCUACUGUAAAAUUAAUUACCACAUCAAACGUGACGUGCUAAUAUUGAUGCAGCUAUGAACCCGCCGGGUUUGUUUCAGGGGAAAAAAAAAAUAUUUUAAGAAGCUUCCCAAUGGAAACGUCGACAAGACUCACGCCUGGUUCACACUCUGUCUGCAGUGCGUAUGCAGUCCGUGUGUGUGGUGCAAAAGCAGCAUGGACUCAUUGUGCUUUCACACAGGAAGCGUUUGAACUCCGCUACUGAUCCGCGGCUGUUUAGUCCACAAACACAACAUUUGUUCAUUAUUUUAUAUUUCAAAUCAUGUAAAAAUAAAAAUAUUGUGACCCUUUUAUCA
This is a long non-coding RNA of Cyprinus carpio (common carp), 4330 nucleotides long. Lineage: Eukaryota; Metazoa; Chordata; Actinopteri; Cypriniformes; Cyprinidae. The record is from Ensembl.